Molecule: unclassified non-coding RNA, 676 nt
Filed under: Hevea brasiliensis (rubber tree)
Lineage: Eukaryota; Viridiplantae; Streptophyta; Magnoliopsida; Malpighiales; Euphorbiaceae
Source: RNAcentral
AUAUUUUUGAAAAUGCCAUUUUCCCAUUUUCGUUUUUGCAUUUCCUUGUGUCCGCGUUUCCAUUUCCAUGCUACAUAGUUUUAGUCUAUAGUUCUACCAUUGUUAUUAUCAGAUUCGGCAUAACAUGUAAAUUAUAAACUUGAUUAUGGCUUGAACCUGUGGUUGAAUCAGAAUUUUCUUCUUUUUAAACUUAAUGAAUCUUAAAUCCUCCAAAAAUAUGUUCUCCUUAGUCAUUUUUUUUGUCAUGCUUUUUUUUCCUGCUCACCCAACAGGAUGCAGAUGGUGAGGAUAAUAUGUUUCUACAAAUUAUUUAUUCAUUACUUUAUUUCUAUGGCUCAUUUUCUUUAAUGACUGUGUUUCACUUGACUCUUCAGUUCCAUGUCUUGUGGCCAAACUCAUUUACUUGAAUGGGAUAAUGUGUCAUUUUGCCUGGUUCUUAGUGUAAACUUUGCUUUCAUUUGCUUUUUGUCAUAUGUUACUUCGAAUAGUUUUGCCUUCUAGAAAGAAGAUUUUCUGUCUGCAAGAGAUGUUAGUUUCCACUGUUUAAAUUGUUUGUAGCACCCAAUGAUGUGGCAAGAAAUUACUGGCGCAUUUCUCUUUGCAGUCUUAAAAUCUUCCUGCUCUUAAUUUCGUUAUUGUUAUAUUGCUUCAGAUUACCUAUCAUUUUUUUCACUGG